GGGUCGUUGGCAGAGCGGUAAUGCAGCAGCCUGUAAAGCUGUGGCUUCGGCAUCGGUGGUUCGAUCCCAUCACGGCCCA
This 79-nucleotide transfer RNA is filed under the name Nocardiopsaceae bacterium. RNAcentral's name for it is "tRNA-Tyr". It matches the Rfam family "tRNA". From Rfam's summary of the family: Transfer RNA (tRNA) molecules are approximately 80 nucleotides in length. Their secondary structure includes four short double-helical elements and three loops (D, anti-codon, and T loops). The record is from RNAcentral. Lineage: Bacteria; Bacillati; Actinomycetota; Actinomycetes; Streptosporangiales; Nocardiopsidaceae.